This 405-nucleotide ribosomal RNA is filed under the name Triticum aestivum (bread wheat). Its description in RNAcentral is "partial small subunit ribosomal RNA". Lineage: Eukaryota; Viridiplantae; Streptophyta; Magnoliopsida; Poales; Poaceae. The record is from RNAcentral.
AUGUCUGCAUCUACUUCAGCUAUACAAGCUGAUAUUUGGAAGCAUCUGUGGGAGCUGCAAGUGCCACGUAAAAUUCAAAUAUUUUGCUGGCGUGCCCUACGUGGAGUUGUCCCUUUGUUUUCGAUUUUGGCAAACAAACACCUCCCCAUCAGUGAUGUAUGUCCAGUAUGUCGUAAGGGACCGGAGGACAUGAGACAUUUACUUUUCCAAUGCGAUUUGGCAAAGGAGCUAUGGAGGGGUCUCGGGCUCUUGAAUCAUAUAGAGCAAGCGACACACGUGGAUCGCUCAGGAUCAGCAAUAUUGGAAUUCUUACUUCUGGAACCGCAAACCAAAACCCUGCUAAUGCCAAGUCUGAAUGUGAAAGAAGUCAUAGCAGCGGGCUGCUGGUAUAUUUGGUGGCUAAGG